This 24-nucleotide non-coding RNA is filed under the name Arabidopsis thaliana (thale cress). The record is from RNAcentral. Lineage: Eukaryota; Viridiplantae; Streptophyta; Magnoliopsida; Brassicales; Brassicaceae.
AUCUGGGAUGGCGUCCGUGAGCCU